Molecule: non-coding RNA, 309 nt
Organism: Pelobates cultripes (western spadefoot toad)
Lineage: Eukaryota; Metazoa; Chordata; Amphibia; Anura; Pelobatidae
Source: the annotation of a GenBank genome assembly
GGACACUAAUAACUGCAGAACUGACCCUCCACUAAUCGUCAAGCCUAUUUAACAGCAAAGUAGGCAGACCCAUCGGCUUUCAAGCACGGAAACACAUCAACAUCUACCUCCUCCAUUUACCUACAAUAUAUACAGUAAAACUGUUAGCUAGCAUUUCCCACAGCGGAAUAAGACAUUCCAGCAAAUAUACCUAACACAAAAAGGAAUAUUUGAGGACAAAAAUGCAACAAUCCCAAAGCUCUUGUUGUCGGCAUGCACAUGAAAAGAAUAAUAGGGGGAAAGUACUGACAAUAGGACCUGUAACAAAAG